Ictalurus punctatus (channel catfish) is the source of this 1003-nucleotide long non-coding RNA. Lineage: Eukaryota; Metazoa; Chordata; Actinopteri; Siluriformes; Ictaluridae. The record is from Ensembl.
AAAAGAGAGAGAUGAUGGAACACAUGCAGAGCAAACGGCUCACAGAGAGGCUACAAAACAACGGCAUCUACAGAUGGCUAAGCACCUCUUAAAUGCAGCACCACGCCAAAGUCGGGGAUUCUAUAGAGCAAAAGUUCCUGAGUGCAUCUUCGAGAACCAGUGCAAACUUGGACUUUUAUUUGGACUCCAAGAUCCCAGUCCCCUUUGGCCAGGUCCUUCACGCAGCGCCACUCAACACCAAUUAGCCUUCUUUUCUUCCAACACACGUGUCUUCUGAAAGAAAGUAGGUGAUGUGAGGAAGGCAACCGAGCGGAUCAUCGCAUUGUUUUCACAAACAUUUUCAUCUCCCUUUGUGGAGCUCCAUCACCCGAGGGACACAUGAAGAAGGCAGGGGCCCGUAAAAUGGCUGGGGGACCACCAGCACCUCCACUCACUCCGGCUGAGGAGCUGCCACUGUCCUUUAAUCAAGGGGGUCAGGGCAGUUCAUCAGAGUCAACUACCUCGCAUGAAUUGCCGAUGGACACGUCGUAUUAACGGACCGUCCUGCAACAGUGAUUAUCGUCUUCGGGUAUUGUUUCUGUUGGCUAGAUCAAACAUCAUUAGUAAUUUGCACUGCAGGAUGAAGAGGACGAGACCAUCUCUACUGUGACAGAGGUACAAAAUGAAGAUGCUGGGAGGCCCACAGAGGUUUAACAUAUAAUACAUUCCUUUUUUUCUUUCUUUUUUUUUUUUUUUUUUUUUUUAAAGAUGUGAUUAUUAAAACUGUUACUGUCCCCUUAAAGAUCAUGAUGAAGUUAGCUUUUGCUCUUAUGUUUGUUUUUAUUUUGCGGGCUAGUUUUUGCUUGUUAGUUUGCUAUUGUUUGAUUGGCUAGUUUUUGCUGAUAAGUUUGGUUUUGUUCAGCGAGUUAGAUUUUGGUGAUUACUUUGCUUUUGUUUGGUGAGAUUUACACUUACAUUUACAUUUAUUCACUUAGCAGACGCUUUAUCCAAAGCGACUUACAAA